This 19-nucleotide unclassified non-coding RNA is filed under the name Mus musculus (house mouse). RNAcentral's name for it is "oocyte_clustered_small_RNA13462". The record is from RNAcentral. Lineage: Eukaryota; Metazoa; Chordata; Mammalia; Rodentia; Muridae.
GGCGCGUCAUGGGUGCUAC